UCUCCGUUGGUGAACCAGCGGAGGGAUCAUUACCGAGUUUACAACUCCCAAACCCCUGUGAACAUACCUUAAUGUUGCCUCGGCGGAUCAGCCCGCGCCCCGUGAAACGGGACGGCCCGCCAGAGGACCCAAACUCUAAUGUUUCUUAUUGUAACUUCUGAGUAAAACAAACAAAUAAAUCAAAACUUUCAACAACGGAUCUCUUGGUUCUG
This 212-nucleotide unclassified non-coding RNA is filed under the name plant metagenome. RNAcentral's name for it is "partial contains small subunit ribosomal RNA, internal transcribed spacer 1, and 5.8S ribosomal RNA". The record is from RNAcentral.